UGGGGAAUAUUGGACAAUGGGCGCAAGCCUGAUCCAGCCAUGCCGCGUGUGUGAAGAAGGCCUUCGGGUUGUAAAGCACUUUCAGCGAGGAGGAAGGGAGUUGUGUUAAUAGCACAGCUUCUUGACGUUACUCGCAGAAGAAGCACCGGCUAACUCUGUGCCAGCAGCCGCGGUAAUACAGAGGGUGCAAGCGUUAAUCGGAAUUACUGGGCGUAAAGCGCACGUAGGCGGUUUUUAAGUCAGAUGUGAAAGCCCCGGGCUCAACCUGGGAAUUGCAUUUGAAACUGGAAAACUAGAGUGUGUGAGAGGGGGGUAGAAUUCCAAGUGUAGCGGUGAAAUGCGUAGAGAUUUGGAGGAAUACCAGUGGCGAAGGCGGCCCCCUGGCACAACACUGACGCUCAGGUGCGAAAGCGUGGGGAGCAAACAGGAUUAGAUACCCCCGUAGUCCCUGAGCGGGCUGGCAAGGCGCAU
Molecule: ribosomal RNA, 471 nt
Filed under: uncultured bacterium
Lineage: Bacteria
Description: bacterial SSU rRNA
Rfam family: Bacterial small subunit ribosomal RNA
Source: RNAcentral